UCCGUAGCCGGCUAAACAAGUUUCCCGUUAAAUCCAGCGAUCUAAUCGUUGGCCUGCGGGAAAUACUGUUUGGCUAGGGGGCGAGAGAGGCCAACGGUAUUUCCGGGGUAGGGGUGAAAUCUUAUAAUCCCGGGAGGACCACCAGUGGCGAAGGCUGUUGGCUAGAACGCGCUCGACGGUGAGGGACGAAAGCUGGGGGAGCGAACCGGAUUAGAUACCCGGGUAGUCCCAGCUGUAAACGAUGUGGACUAGGUGUUAGGGCGGCUACGAGCCGCUCUAGUGCCGCAGGAAAGCCAUUAAGUCCACCGCCUGGGGAGUACGGCCGCAAGGCUGAA
RNAcentral lists this ribosomal RNA (335 nucleotides) under uncultured bacterium. Its description in RNAcentral is "bacterial SSU rRNA". It matches the Rfam family "Archaeal small subunit ribosomal RNA", at positions 518 to 853 of the family's 1478-position model. The record is from RNAcentral.